GCGGGCUGGACCUCUCGGGGUUACAGCCUUGCUGAAUUAUUCACCCUUGUCUUUUGCGUACUUCUUGUUUCCUUGGUGGGUUCGCCCACCACUAGGACAAACAUAAACCUUUUGUAAUUGCAAUCAGCGUCAGUAACAAAUUAAUAAUUACAACUUUCAACAACGGAUCUCUUGGUUCUGGCAUCGAUGAAGAACGCAGCGAAAUGCGAUAAGUAGUGUGAAUUGCAGAAUUCAGUGAAUCAUCGAAUCUUUGAACGCACAUUGCGCCCUUUGGUAUUCCAAAGGGCAUGCCUGUUCGAGCGUCAUUUGUACCCUCAAGCUUUGCUUGGUGUUGGGCGUCUUGUCUCUAGCUUUGCUGGAGACUCGCCUUAAAGUAAUUGGCAGCCGGCCUACUGGUUUCGGAGCGCAGCACAAGUCGCACUCUCUAUCAGCAAAGGUCUAGCAUCCAUUAAGCCUUUUUUCAACUUUUGACCUCGGAUCAGGUAGGGAUACCCGCUGAACUUAAGCAUAUCAA
RNAcentral lists this unclassified non-coding RNA (514 nucleotides) under Alternaria solani. Its description in RNAcentral is "sequence contains ITS1, ITS2". The stretch from base 152 to 305 matches the Rfam family "5.8S ribosomal RNA". The record is from RNAcentral. Lineage: Eukaryota; Fungi; Ascomycota; Dothideomycetes; Pleosporales; Pleosporaceae.